AUGGAAACAUUCACAGCAGUGUCAACGUCGACAUCGUCCACAUCAUCGGCAGGAUAUCUGGAGUGAUGAAUAGCUGCUUGGCAGGAGGUGGUGUUGUCGAGGAGAUGCGGUUGGAAGAGUUUCCUGGGGCCUCACUCAUGACAUACGUGUCGGAUGUACAACAGUCCCUGGUGGAAUCACCACCUGCAUGUGAUUGAGGGACUGGAGCAGACAACACAUAGAUGCCCCUGAGCUUUUUCAGCGAGGGACAGCUUCCAAAUCUGGGCAAGAUUUUUCGACAGACGUGGGAUGCAGAGGUACGCAAGCCGAGCCAAGUUCGCCAGAAUGCUGAUAAUGGACGGCACGGUGGAAUCAA
This is a long non-coding RNA of Bacillus rossius redtenbacheri, 355 nucleotides long. RefSeq lists it as uncharacterized. The transcript has 3 exons. NCBI's taxonomy places the organism in Eukaryota, Metazoa, Arthropoda, Insecta, Phasmatodea, Bacillidae. The record is from RefSeq and is a predicted model, not a curated record.